This 612-nucleotide ribosomal RNA is filed under the name uncultured bacterium. Its description in RNAcentral is "bacterial SSU rRNA". It matches the Rfam family "Bacterial small subunit ribosomal RNA", at positions 338 to 946 of the family's 1533-position model. The record is from RNAcentral.
CCUACGGGAGGCAGCAGUAAGGAAUAUUGGUCAAUGGUGGCAACACUGAACCAGCCAUGCCGCGUGCAGGAUGAAGGUUCUAUGAAUUGUAAACUGCUUUUAUACGGGAAAAAACUUUCGAACGUGUUCGGAACUGAUGGUACCGUAAGAAUAAGGAUCGGCUAACUUCGUGCCAGCAGCCGCGGUAAGACGAAGGAUCCAAGCGUUAUCCGGAUUUAUUGGGUUUAAAGGGUGCGUAGGUGGACUUGUAAGUCAGUGGUGAAAGCCCGAUGCUUAACAUCGGAACUGCCAUUGAUACUGCAAGUCUUGAAUAUGUUUGAAGUGGGCGGAAUGUGUCGUGUAGCGGUGAAAUGCUUAGAUAUGACACAGAACACCGAUUGCGAAGGCAGCUCACUAAACCAUUAUUGACACUGAGGCACGAAAGCGUGGGGAGCAAACAGGAUUAGAUACCCUGGUAGUCCACGCCCUAAACGUUGAAUACUCGAUAUGUGCGAUACACUGUACGUGUCCAAGAGAAAUCGUUAAGUAUUCCACCUGGGGAGUACGCUCGCAAGAGAGAACGACAAGAAGUAGUAGACGNGAGAGAGCGACGACGACGACGAGGAGGAGGAG